RNAcentral lists this ribosomal RNA (451 nucleotides) under uncultured bacterium. RNAcentral's name for it is "partial 16S ribosomal RNA". It matches the Rfam family "Bacterial small subunit ribosomal RNA", at positions 28 to 507 of the family's 1533-position model. The record is from RNAcentral.
AGCGAACGCUGGCGGCAUGCCUAACACAUGCAAGUCGCACGGGGGGGCUUCGGCCUCCCAGUGGCGGACGGGUGAGGAACGCGUAGGGACCUGUCGAGGGGUGGGGGAUAACCGCGGGAAACUGCGGCUAAUACCGCAUGACGCCGCGGCGUGACAGCCGGGGCCAAAGGCGAAAGCCGCCCGCCGAGGGGCCUGCGUCCGAUUAGCUGGUUGGCGGGGUAGCGGCCCACCAAGGCGUCGAUCGGCAGCUGGUCUGAGAGGGUGAUCAGCCACACCGGGACUGAGACACGGCCCGGACUCCUACGGGAGGCAGCAGUGGGGAAUAUUGGACAAUGGGCGCAAGCCUGAUCCAGCAAUGCCGCGUGGGUGAAGAAGGUCUUCGGAUUGUAAAGCCCUUUCGGCGGGGACGAUGGUGACGGUACCCGCAGAAGAAGCCCCGGCUAACUUCGUG